GAGGCAGCAGUGAGGAAUAUUGGUCAAUGGGCGAGAGCCUGAACCAGCCAAGUAGCGUGCAGGAUGACGGCCUAUGGGUUGUAAACUGCUUUUAUAAGGGAAUAAGUGAGUCUCGUGAGACUUUUUGCAUGUACCUUAUGAAUAAGGACCGGCUAAUUCCGUGCCAGCAGCCGCGGUAAUACGGAAGGUCCGGGCGUUAUCCGGAUUUAUUGGGUUUAAAGGGAGCGUAGGCCGGAGAUUAAGCGUGUUGUGAAAUGUAGACGCUCAACGUCUGCACUGCAGCGCGAACUGGUUUCCUUGAGUACGCACAAAGUGGGCGGAAUUCGUGGUGUAGCGGUGAAAUGCUUAGAUAUCACGAAGAACUCCGAUUGCGAAGGCAGCUCACUGGAGCGCAACUGACGCUGAAGCUCGAAAGUGCGGGUAUCGAACAGGAUUAGAUACCCUGG
RNAcentral lists this ribosomal RNA (446 nucleotides) under uncultured bacterium. Its description in RNAcentral is "bacterial SSU rRNA". It matches the Rfam family "Bacterial small subunit ribosomal RNA", at positions 345 to 790 of the family's 1533-position model. The record is from RNAcentral.